This 253-nucleotide ribosomal RNA is filed under the name uncultured bacterium. RNAcentral describes it as "partial 16S ribosomal RNA". It matches the Rfam family "Bacterial small subunit ribosomal RNA", at positions 524 to 776 of the family's 1533-position model. The record is from RNAcentral.
UACAGCGGGGGCAAGCGUUGUUCGGAAUUACUGGGCGUAAAGGGCGCGUAGGCGGCCUGUUAAGUCGAACGUGAAAUCCCCGGGCUCAACCCGGGAACUGCGUCCGAUACUGGCAGGCUUGAAUCCGGGAGAGGGAUGCGGAAUUCCAGGUGUAGCGGUGAAAUGCGUAGAUAUCAGGAGGAACACCGAUGGCGAAGGCAGCUCGCUGGGACGGUACUGACGCUGAGGCGCGAAAGCGUGGGGAGCAAACAGG